Molecule: small nucleolar RNA, 85 nt
Organism: Myotis lucifugus (little brown bat)
Lineage: Eukaryota; Metazoa; Chordata; Mammalia; Chiroptera; Vespertilionidae
Source: Ensembl
AUCUUUUUGUAGUUCAUAAGCGUGAUGAUUGGGUGUUCAUGCUUUUGUGUGAGAUGUACAACUUUGGCACAUUAUCCGUCUGAUG